CAGUAGCCGCGGUAAUACGAAGGGGGCUAGCGUUGUUCGGAAUUACUGGGCGUAAAGGGCGCGUAGGCGGCCAUUCGAGUUAGAUGUGAAAGCCCUGGGCUCAACCUAGGAAUUGCAUUUGAUACUGUUUGGCUUGAGUUCGGGAGAGGUGAGUGGAAUUCCCAGUGUAGAGGUGAAAUUCGUAGAUAUUGGGAAGAACACCAGUGGCGAAGGCGGCUCACUGGACCGACACUGACGCUGAGGCGCGAAAGCGUGGGGAGCAAACAGGAUUAGAUACCCCCGUAGUCCCUGUCUCUUAUAC
This 301-nucleotide ribosomal RNA is filed under the name uncultured bacterium. Its description in RNAcentral is "partial 16S ribosomal RNA". It matches the Rfam family "Bacterial small subunit ribosomal RNA", at positions 509 to 807 of the family's 1533-position model. The record is from RNAcentral.